CGGGGGGCAGCAGUGGGGAAUUUUGGACAAUGGGCGCAAGCCUGAUCCAGCCAUGCCGCGUGAGUGAAGAAGGCCUUCGGGUUGUAAAGCUCUUUCGGCCGGGACGAAAUCGCAUGGGUUAACACCGCGUGUGGAUGACGGUACCGGAAUAAGAAGCACCGGCUAACUACGUGCCAGCAGCCGCGGUAAUACGUAGGGUGCGAGCGUUAAUCGGAAUUACUGGGCGUAAAGGGUGCGCAGGCGGUUUUGUAAGCCAGAUGUGAAAUCCCCGGGCUUAACCUGGGAACUGCAUUUGGGACUGCAAGGCUAGAGUACGGCAGAGGGGGGUAGAAUUUCUGGUGUAGCAGUGAAAUGCGUAGAUAUCAGGAGGAAUACCGAUGGCGAAGGCAGCCCCCUGGGUCGAUACUGACGCUCAUGCACGAAAGCGUGGGGAGCAAACAGGAUUAGAUACCCCAGU
RNAcentral lists this ribosomal RNA (457 nucleotides) under uncultured beta proteobacterium. RNAcentral describes it as "bacterial SSU rRNA". It matches the Rfam family "Bacterial small subunit ribosomal RNA", at positions 342 to 791 of the family's 1533-position model. Lineage: Bacteria; Pseudomonadati; Pseudomonadota; Betaproteobacteria. The record is from RNAcentral.